GAAGAGAGUUGCUGUGACCCGCUCAGCUGCAGCCCCAGCACUGCUUGUAGGAUGUGCCAUUGUCACCAGCCUGCUGUCUCCUCAUUAGUUCUCCCUCCUCAGUCUUGUCCAGACAGCUUAGACUUCCUGGUCUCUUUCCCAGAGAGGGAUGAGGAAAUGGCAGCCAGAAGAAGAUGUGCUGCAUUUCUGGGGGGACCACGUGGCCUGCAUCUCUCUUCCUCUGUGGCCUCCACCCUUCUCAGAGUCUGCACCAAGUACUGACGACUCCUCCCCGAUGUCAGCCACAGCCACCCAGUUCCAAGCAGGGGAGGUGGUAGCUUUCUCCUCUGCUGGCCUUAGCACAGCCUUGGGGACCCAGAGGAACUUCAUCAUAUUGAUUCGCCAUUGAUAGAACCCAUCUUUAGGCCACUGGUUCUCAAACAUAAGCAUGUAUCAGAAUUGCCUGGCAGGCUUGUUAAAACCUGAAUUACUGGCCCCAACACCAGCUUCU
Molecule: non-coding RNA, 490 nt
Organism: Heterocephalus glaber (naked mole-rat)
Lineage: Eukaryota; Metazoa; Chordata; Mammalia; Rodentia; Bathyergidae
Source: RefSeq, a predicted model, not a curated record